ACGCUGGCGGCAGGCUUAACACAUGCAAGUCGAACGGUAACAGGGAUUAGCUUGCUAAUUUGCUGACGAGUGGCGGACGGGUGAGUAAUGCUUGGGAAUCUGGCUUAUGGAGGGGGAUAACUACGGGAAACUGUAGCUAAUACCGCGUAAAAUCUUAGGAUUAAAGGGUGGGACUUUCGAGCCACCUGCCAUAAGAUGAGCCCAAGUGGGAUUAGGUAGUUGGUUAGGUAAAGGCUGACCAAGCCGACGAUCUCUAGCUGGUCUGAGAGGAUGGCCAGCCACACUGGAACUGAGACACGGUCCAGACUCCUACGGGAGGCAGCAGUGGGGAAUAUUGCACAAUGGGGGGAACCCUGAUGCAGCCAUGCCGCGUGAAUGAAGAAGGCCUUCGGGUUGUAAAGUUCUUUCGGUGACGAGGAAGGUUGAUAGGUUAAUAGCCUAUCAAAUUGACGUUAAUCACAGAAGAAGCACCGGCUAACUCCGUGCCAGCAGCCGCGGUAAUACGGGGGGUGCGAGCGUUAAUCGGAAUAACUGGGCGUAAAGGGCACGCAGGCGGUGACUUAAGUGAGAUGUGAAAGCCCCGAGCUUAACUUGGGAAUUGCAUUUCAUACUGGGUCGCUAGAGUACUUUAGGGAGGGGUAGAAUUCCACGUGUAGCGGUGAAAUGCGUAGAGAUGUGGAGGAAUACCGAAGGCGAAGGCAGCCCCUUGGGAAUGUACUGACGCUCAUGUGCGAAAGCGUGGGGAGCAAACAGGAUUAGAUACCCUGGUAGUCCACGCUGUAAACGAUGUCGAUUUGGGGAUUGGGCUUUGAGCUUGGUGCCCGUAGCUAACGUGAUAAAUCGACCGCCUGGGGAGUACGGCCGCAAGGUUAAAACUCAAAUGAAUUGACGGGGGCCCGCACAAGCGGU
RNAcentral lists this ribosomal RNA (909 nucleotides) under uncultured bacterium. Its description in RNAcentral is "bacterial SSU rRNA". It matches the Rfam family "Bacterial small subunit ribosomal RNA", at positions 33 to 933 of the family's 1533-position model. The record is from RNAcentral.